RNAcentral lists this ribosomal RNA (252 nucleotides) under uncultured bacterium. RNAcentral's name for it is "partial 16S ribosomal RNA". It matches the Rfam family "Bacterial small subunit ribosomal RNA", at positions 524 to 776 of the family's 1533-position model. The record is from RNAcentral.
UACGGAGGAUGCGAGCGUUAUCCGGAUUUAUUGGGUUUAAAGGGUGCGUAGGCGGACGCUUAAGUCAGCGGUAAAAUUGCGGGGCUCAACCUCGUCGAGCCGUUGAAACUGGGUGCCUUGAGUGGGCGAGAAGUACGCGGAAUGCGUGGUGUAGCGGUGAAAUGCAUAGAUAUCACGCAGAACUCCGAUCGCGAAGGCAGCGUACCGGCGCCCAACUGACGCUGAAGCACGAAGGCGUGGGUAUCGAACAGG